RNAcentral lists this ribosomal RNA (492 nucleotides) under uncultured bacterium. RNAcentral describes it as "partial 16S ribosomal RNA". It matches the Rfam family "Bacterial small subunit ribosomal RNA", at positions 29 to 507 of the family's 1533-position model. The record is from RNAcentral.
AGUGAACGCUGGCGGUAUGCCUAACACAUGCAAGUCGAACGGCAGCACAGUAAGAGCCUGCUCUUACGGGUGGCGAGUGGCGGACGGGUGAGGAAUACACCGGAAUCUACUUUUUCGUGGGGGCUAACGUAGGGAAACUUACGCUACUACCGCAUACGACAUACGGGUGAAAGCAGGGGAUCUUCGGACCUUGCGCGAUUGCAUGAGCCGAUGUCGGAUUAGCUAGUUGGCGGGGUAAAGGCCCACCAAGGCGACGAUCCGUAGCUGGUCUGAGAGGAUGAUCAGCCACACUGGAACUGAGACACGGUCCAGACUCCUACGGGAGGCAGCAGUGGGGAAUAUUGGACAAUGGGCGCAAGCCUGAUCCAGCCAUACCGCGUGGGUGAAGAAGGCCUUCGGGUUGUAAAGCCCUUUUGUUGGGAAAGAAAAGCAGCAGGUUAAUACCCCGCUGUUCUGACGGUACCCAAAGAAUAAGCACCGGCUAACUUCGUG